RNAcentral lists this small RNA (29 nucleotides) under Bombyx mori (domestic silkworm). Its description in RNAcentral is "ovarian small RNA-27516". The record is from RNAcentral. Lineage: Eukaryota; Metazoa; Arthropoda; Insecta; Lepidoptera; Bombycidae.
UCCGCAACGACUUUGCCCUUUGGUGGCGG